AGAAUGAACGUUGGCGGCGUGGAUUAAGUAUGUAAGUCGUUGAGAAGUUUCCUUUGGGGAACGGACAGCGGCGAAAGGGAGAGUAAUAUGUAGAAAUUUGUCCCCUGGUUUGGGAUAGUGUUGGGAAAUUAGUGGUAAUACCGGAUAAUGUCUUUGGACUAAAGGUGUGAUUCCGCCGGGGGAUGAGUCUACGACCUAUUAGUUAGUUGGUGGGGUAAUGGUCCACCAAGGUGAUGAUGGGUAGCGGGUGUGAGAGUAUGACCCGCCUCACUGGGACUGAGAUAUUGUUUAGAUAUUUAUGGAUGGUUGCAGUUGAGAAUUUUUGUUAAUGGAUGAAAGUUUGAAUAAGCGACGCCGCGUGCGGGAUGAAGGCCUUUGGGUUGUAAACCGCUGUCGUAAGGGAGCAAAUCUAUGGGGGUAUUCCCCCAUGGUUGAGUGAUCUUAGGAGGAAGGACGGGUUAAGUUCGUGUUAGUAGUUGUGGUAAGACGAACCGUCCAAACGUUAUUCGGUAUCACUGGGCUUAAAGAGUUCGUAGGCGGCCAUGUAGGUCAGGUGUGAAAUUCCACAGUUUAGCUGUGGAACUGCGCUUGAAACCGCAUGGCUUGAGGAAGAUAGAGGUGAGCGGAACAGAUGGUGGAGUGGUGAAAUGUGUUGAUAUCAUCUGGAAUAUUGGUGGUGAAAGUGGCUCACUGGAUCUUUUCUGACGCUGAGGAACGAAAGCUAGGGUAGUGAAUGGGAUUAGAUAUCCCGGUAGUCCUAGCUGUAAAUGAUGAGCACUAGUCCGUGGGAAUUUUUAUAUUUUCUCGGACGUAGCGAAAGUGUUAAGUGCUCCGCCUGGGGAGUAUGGUUGCAAGGCUGAAACUCAAAGGAAUUGACGGGGGUUUAUAUAAGCGGUGGAGGAUGUGGUUUAAUUUGAGUUUAUGUGAAGAAUUUUAUCCUAGUUUUGAUAUUCUUGAGAAUACCCUUGAAAGGGGGUAGUGUUUUUGGGAGUUUUUGAAUAGGUGCUGUAUGGCUGUCGUUAGCUCGUGUUGUGAGAUGUUGGGUUAAGUUUUUUAACGAGCGAAACCCUUAUCUCUAGUUGCCAGUGUGUAAUGGUGGGGAUUUUAGAGAGACUGCCGGUGUUAAACCGGAGGAAGGUGGGGAUGACGUUAAGUUUUUAUGGCCUUUAUGACUAGGGUUGUAUACGUCCUACAAUGCGGCAUAUAAAGGGAAGCAAACCCGUGAGGGGGAGCAAAUCCCAAAAAGUGUCGCUCAGUUCGGAUUGCAGGCUGUAAUUUGCCUGCAUGAAGUUGGAAUCGUUAGUAAUCGCGGGUUAGUAUACCGCGGUGAAUGUGUUCCUGAGCUUUGUACACACCGCCCGUCAAGCUAUGAAAGUUGGGAGGGCCCGAAGUUGCUAAGCUAACCCGUAAGGGAGGCAGGCGCCGAAGGUCAACUCGACGAUUGGGAUUAA
RNAcentral lists this ribosomal RNA (1451 nucleotides) under metagenome. RNAcentral describes it as "bacterial SSU rRNA". It matches the Rfam family "Bacterial small subunit ribosomal RNA". The record is from RNAcentral.